Octodon degus (degu) is the source of this 207-nucleotide long non-coding RNA. RefSeq lists it as uncharacterized. The record is from RefSeq and is a predicted model, not a curated record. The transcript has 3 exons. NCBI's taxonomy places the organism in Eukaryota, Metazoa, Chordata, Mammalia, Rodentia, Octodontidae.
GGCCCGGACAGCUCCCUGGUGUGGACUGCAGACCCCAAGCCUGGCCGCCCAUCCUGCCCGGACCUGGCCUCACCAACCCGUGCCAGCCUAGCCCUGCCAAAAAGACUGGGUAUAGGAGACUCACGUCAACUGAUUACAUCCAGCAGUGGUGACCCAGGCCCCGACUGCAGGACCCCAAGGACUACUGACAGGAGCAGAUGAGCAGCC